This 82-nucleotide transfer RNA is filed under the name Acropora cervicornis. Its description in RNAcentral is "tRNA-Leu". It matches the Rfam family "tRNA". From Rfam's summary of the family: Transfer RNA (tRNA) molecules are approximately 80 nucleotides in length. Their secondary structure includes four short double-helical elements and three loops (D, anti-codon, and T loops). Lineage: Eukaryota; Metazoa; Cnidaria; Anthozoa; Scleractinia; Acroporidae. The record is from RNAcentral.
GGUAGCAUGGCCGAGUGGUCUAAGGCGCUGGUUUUAGGCACCAGUCUCUUCGGAGGCGUGUGUUCGAGUCCCACUGCUGCCA